CCUACGGGAGGCUGCAGUGGGGAAUAUUGCACAAUGGGGGAAACCCUGAUGCAGCGACGCCGCGUGAGUGAAGAAGUAUUUCGGUAUGUAAAGCUCUAUCAGCAGGGAAGAAAAUGACGGUACCUGUUUAAGAAGCCCCGGCUAACUACGUGCCAGCAGCCGCGGUAAUACGGAGGGGGCAAGCGUUAUCCGGAUUUACUGGGUGUAAAGGGAGCGUAGACGGCAGCACAAGUCUGAAGUGAAAUGCCGGGGCUUAACCCCGGAACUGCUUUGGAAACUGUGCAGCUAGAGUGCAGGAGAGGUAAGUGGAAUUCCUAGUGUAGCGGUGAAAUGCGUAGAUAUUAGGAGGAACACCAGUGGCGAAGGCGGCUUACUGGACUGUAACUGACGUUGAGGCUCGAAAGCGUGGGGAGCAAACAGGAUUAGAUACCCCAGUAGUC
This 440-nucleotide ribosomal RNA is filed under the name uncultured bacterium. RNAcentral's name for it is "partial 16S ribosomal RNA". It matches the Rfam family "Bacterial small subunit ribosomal RNA", at positions 338 to 795 of the family's 1533-position model. The record is from RNAcentral.